UUGCUUCCGGCCACGUCUCAGUUUUCUCUGGGUUCCUUCUUUUCUCUUUUCUAUUUGAUUUUGGUCUCCGGGAUUCCUGUAGGUGACUCGCCUUAACUGCUCCCUAAUUCUGGCAAUCUGUAUUCCAGAGCCGGUGCGAGGGCGGUAGGAGGGCAGCUCGGAAGAACUGAGUUCCUGGUGCGCUGGGGAUGCCUCCUUCUGCGUCCCGGUCACUCCUCAGGGCCACAGGCAGGGGGCACAGGACGCCCCUCGGCCAGGCACUCUCCUGGGCACGGUGCCAGCACGGAAGGGGGUGCCUUACUGCCCUAAAAGCCUUUGGUUCAGAAAGUCCUUCGGGACAGUUACGGGUCAACGCAACGCAACACCCAUAUUCCUGGGACGCCCCUAACGUCCUUCACCUGAGACCCGGCAGAGGCCAGUCCUGCAUGUGCCCCCCACCCAGGGGGCAUGGACGCCCUCCAAGGAAGCUCCACAUCUGCUUCAGCAAACACGGGCGGCAAACCUGUUGACUCCCCGGUGUGCUCUGGACUGGACUUGUUCCCUCAGCGGCAAGGAGAAGAGUGGGGGACGGAGUGGGGGACCCUCGCUGCUCCUGGCUGCAGCCUGUCCGUGGGAACCAAUCUUGUUCAGAGGUCAGUGCCGGCUGUGAAGAAACAUUUUCGAUUUCUUUUGUCCCGUAAGAAGCCGGGGUUAGCAGUCCUAAGGAAUUAAUCUCAGACGUUCCUACUUGAGUCUCCCUGUAGGGUUCUAGAAGUUUCCACCUCCACAGAGUUGAGGGGGCAGGUGACCUGUCCAAGAAAGGUCAGAGGGGAGGAAGCGCCGUGAGACUGUGAACGUGCUCACUUAGCCCCUCUGGUCGUCCUGGAACCUUCCCACGCCAGCUGGCCACUGCCCCUGCUGAUUAUGGGGUACUAAUAAUGGAGUGGGAAACGGGGCACCCAGGGGCGCUUCUCCAGGUGGGGUCUCCACCUGCACCCUGGGUCACCUGCUCAAGAGUCAAACCGUCAGGAGGGAGAGUCCGACCACGGGGCCCUAGGUGUGGGGUGAUGUGCCAGGAAGGUCGUGUGGCACAAAGCGAUGUGUUGGAGGGGAGCGUCCCCCAUACAAAAGAAAGGGGGUCGGGGGAUCCCUGGGUGGCGCAGCGGUUUGGUGCCUGCCUUUGGCCCAGGGCGCGAUCCUGGAGACCCGGGAUCGAAUCCCACAUCGGGCUCCCGGUGCAUGGAGCCUGCUUCUCCCUCUGCCUGUGUCUCUGCCUCUCUCUCUCUCUCUCUCUCUCUAUGACUAUCAUAAAUAAAUAAAAAUUUAAAAAAGGGGGGGUCGGGUGCAAGAAGGGAGUCUCCAUCUGACCCCGUGCCACGGGGAGCAAGCUGGAGGGGUCACAUGGGAUCUGCACGGAGGAGCCUGCUUCCUCGGGGGCAGGAUGGGGGCCUCGCUUCCUUGGUCUCUUGGGGGGACCUGGGGACCUGGAAGGAAAGAUCCUCAGAACAAAAACAGAAGGAGAAGCAGGAGGAGGGGACCUGGACAGGGAGCCCCGAGGCUGCGCCGUGCAGCGUGGCCAGGCCGCCGGGUAAGAGGAGCUUGAGCCCCGUCUUCAGGGGGUUACGGGGCUCAGGCCCCCCGGAAAGGUCAGCCUCUCGGCAGCCACACUGCUGGCAGGGGCUGUUUCUGGAAGAUUGCAGGCCAACCAAGCGCGUGGAGGGUCGCGGAUACCAGCAGCUUUGAUGGGGGACUGGGAUGGGGACUUUGUGCUCGGACAGGUGAGGGCGGUCGGAAUUGACAGAAAGGACCCAGGAGAAGCCACAUGCGGGCUCAGGCCAGAGUGAGCACCGACUUGGGACAGCCCUUGGCGGGGGAGGUGGAGGCAAGGGAGGCUGGCCUCCACGCCAGGUGCCAGGAGAGAAGGACGGGGGCACGGAGGCCACCUGGCAACGCGGAUGGCGUGGAUGGCGGCCGAGACAGCUUCUACUUUCUCCGGGAAGAAGGAAGCAAAGCCACGUGUUUAGAGUUAGGGCCGGGUGGGGUCACAGGCCGGAGCCGAGGGGAGGCCGUAAAUCAGAGCCCGAGGCCCCCCUGCACAUCUCCGGAGGCUGCAGCCUGCCCGCCACCCCUCAGAGCCACGGGUCAUGAGCCGCGACGUCACCGCGUCCCGCGGCCAGGUUUUUAUUUUCUUUUUUUUCCAAGUGUAAGAAAUUUUGCAACAUGAUAUAAAUUUGAUGAAGUCUUGAAUUGUUGUUGGGUGUUCCGCUGUGUAGGCUACACCUUACUAGCCCAGCCAGUUUUUUUUUUUUUCAUUUUUAUGAGUAUUUCCAGACAGUUGUUUUCAAACUCGGGGUCUGGCCAGGACGGCCCCCCUCGGCUCACACGUGGGAUGGACGGGACCAGCCCCUGACGGCCAACAGGCUUGGACAAAAGACGGGUGGGAAGCCACUUGCCGUUUCCAACAAUAAGAGCAAUAACGUGUCAUCACUGCUGUGUGCCCACGACGCCCGGGUGCCUCCGCACGUGUUCACUCCCUUCCGCCCACCGUCCUCGCGGCGUGACUGCGCCGGGGCUCCCCCGACUGCUCGUUCCUCCCACGUGCGUCCGGGCGGCGGCUCAUGCCGGUGGGUCCAGCAGGUUGGCCACACCUGGCUGCCUGUGCCACGUCGUACAAAGGACAGGGCUCCCUCCCGGCCCCAUGUCCCUGCCCCUCUGUCUGGACAUCAGGAUGUCAGGAGGUCGGUCCUUGGAACCCAGACACCGAGGGGAGGGAGCCCAAGCCACAGGGCCCGGGACGGGGCUGCACGGUGGGCAGCGCCGGCUUGCUAACCACGCCCAGGUGCCACCGUGGGAGUGGGUCAUCCACCCCCAACAGGGGGCCGCCUGGCUAAAAUCCUAGUGGACACCUGGCUCUGCAGCCUGUCCGGGAAAGCGGAGGCCAGAGUCGUGCACCAGCUGCCCUGGGCUCCUGCCCGCAGAAGCUGUGUGACAUACAUGACAUUCGACCCAACACCUUUGAAUGUCUGCCUCUGCCAGAGGUUUCGGUGCCCAGGCCGGAGUCUGGGGGGCAGAGGUUCCAGCAGCCGUCCCCUCCCGGUACCGGCACGUGGAGUCCCCACAAAGUCCCUGUGGGCCGCCUGCUGAGAUUAGACCUUUUCGGAUGAGGACACUGAGCCCAAAGCCUGCAGACCCGGUCACCGGACGACCCGGACGAGAGCCUAGGUCUGUCCCCGAGGCCUCCAGCCCCACGGGCUCCUUGGCCCAGUCUGUCCCGUCUCAGGCCCCAGGGACAGCAGGUCAGUGUUUCGGGCCCCACUGCUCCUGCCCCGCCUCGCGCCCCACUUCCCUCUGCCGGCCGGCCCUCCGUGCUCCCCGCUCCGGGCCCGUUGCUCUCACCCUGAGGGGCUGUUCUCCUCUGCUGGAGGCCGCCACGUGGUGGGACACCCGGCACCCCCCGGGGCCUCCCCUCCGGGCCGACCAGAGCCCCCAAGGCCUCUCCCACGGGCCCGACCCCUGCCGCGCUUCCCCAGAUUGACCCACGGCCUCUGGCCCUCGAGGCUUUCGGGGGCCUCCCCCUGCUUCCCUGGAGAGACUUUCCUAUUCACGACGCUUGCACCAGACUGUACCUCCUUCAGUCCAGCCCCACCCAGCACGUUGGAGACAUUUCCGGGAGGUUCUUUCACCUGCUCGGUUGGUUGUUGCAUUAAAGUAUAGUUGACGCACAA
Canis lupus familiaris (dog) is the source of this 3704-nucleotide long non-coding RNA. RefSeq lists it as uncharacterized. The transcript is spliced from 2 exons. The record is from RefSeq and is a predicted model, not a curated record. NCBI's taxonomy places the organism in Eukaryota, Metazoa, Chordata, Mammalia, Carnivora, Canidae.